GAGAAAGAAAUCCGCCCCGAGAUGCACCUGCAGCCCCGCGCCCAUCCGUGCGUGGCUGCGGCUGUGCGUGCCCGCGAACGGGGACCAGCGGCCGCCGAGUCCGUCCACAUCGCCAGGCCAGGAGUCAGAACAAGGACGGGCCUGUGAUGUGUCUGUCUAUGACGAGGAGGACAAUGUCCUAAGGAAUGGAGAGGAAGAAAGUGAAGGGAACCAGGUCCCUGGAUUCCAUGUGGAACAGUAGCCCAGGAUGUGCACUAUGGACUGUUACAAGAGAGAGACAUGAUCUUCCUUAAGGCAUUGAUUUGUCAUGAGUCUCUUUGUUAUAGCCACUUAACGUUACCUUAAUACACCCACUUCAUGGAUAAGUAAAACUGAGGCUUGGAGAAGCCCACAUUGACACAGCAAAGAAGGCUGGGGCUCUUGUGCUGGUUAAAUGGACCUUGAUGUCUUCCAAAUGUUUUCAUGCUGGAUUCUGAGCCACUCUCCUGGCUGCAACUCUGAGGCCGGGCAGACUUUCCGCUGGAAAGAGAACUCAAAUACUGGUGAGAGGUGGAUUUGAAGCCAGGAGCCCCAGGUUUUGGCUCUGCAGGUUUGCACCCAGCUCUGUGGUGUAUGCCCUCACAGGUCACCCA
Molecule: long non-coding RNA, 632 nt
Filed under: Homo sapiens (human)
Lineage: Eukaryota; Metazoa; Chordata; Mammalia; Primates; Hominidae
Description: MAPT antisense RNA 1
Source: RNAcentral